AAUGAUCUGCAUCCUGGACUUUACCCUGAGAACUGUACCCACGGUUCUUCUCAAGGGAGCAACAUUUUAGAAAGGUCUCUCUGGCUGCCAUGUGGAAAACGGACGGUGGAGACAGGACGGAGUGCAGCCAGCCAGGCCAGAAGGGGCGGUGGCCCGGGAGGGGCAGGGGGCAGGCAGAGGAGCUGCUGGGCGAGCCUUAAGAAGCAGAGUCAGAGUGCCAGGGAGCGGCAGACCCUACAGGCUGGCCACACCGAUGCCCUGGCCGGCUCCUUUCUCCUGGGCCCCCCAAUCCUAGAGCCUGGAAAAGCCAGGUUCCCAAUCUCCCCUACAGAGGUGACCGCGGGACACAGAUCUAGCCAGAGACUUAAGGAGAAGUCUGCUUUUGCUUUCUCGACAAAAGGGCCCACGGGAGCUAGAGCCAGGCCUUCUUCCCGCCCUGCACACGGCCAUGAGGCCAGACCUGUGGCAGCCGUCUUGCGAAAAUGAGGCAAUAAGUGCGGAAUGAAAGCCAACUCGCCCACGAUGGGGGAGCAGAAAGGCAGCAACCGCCCAGAUGAAGAGACCACAGUGCGGCCUCCUUGCAGCUGAGAGCAACCUAUGCAGUGUCAGAUGCUACUGGGUGGGGCUACCUGCAAAGUUCUAGAAAGGCCAUCACAUGUGCCACUGUCAAUCCUUAAGCCAAUGGCAUGAAGUAAGUACAGACGAGAAAACUGAAGACCUGACAGAUUAAGCAACUUUCCCAGGGCCGCAGAGCCACAGAGUGACAGAUGAAGACGUUGGUUGCACAGUCCUGCUCCAGAGCCCACCCCCUGAUCCCUUCUCUGCCACUUCUCCUCAAGCCUAAACCUUCAGAAACGACUGCUGCCUAAUAAUGAAGGAAGCCAGGGUGAAAGAGAGUAGAAAAGACACUGGGAGAAAAGAAAUGGGUCUGAGAACAUCGAGGCCCCUGGAUCCAGCUGUGCCUGAAACCGGACCUUCUGAACUUGGAAAUUAUUUGAGUCAAUAAAUUGCCUCUUUGUUAA
This is a long non-coding RNA of Neofelis nebulosa (Clouded leopard), 1022 nucleotides long. RefSeq lists it as uncharacterized. The record is from RefSeq and is a predicted model, not a curated record. Lineage: Eukaryota; Metazoa; Chordata; Mammalia; Carnivora; Felidae. The transcript is spliced from 3 exons.